RNAcentral lists this ribosomal RNA (389 nucleotides) under Pseudomonas putida LF54. Its description in RNAcentral is "bacterial LSU rRNA". It matches the Rfam family "Bacterial large subunit ribosomal RNA", at positions 1364 to 1753 of the family's 2925-position model. The record is from RNAcentral. Lineage: Bacteria; Pseudomonadati; Pseudomonadota; Gammaproteobacteria; Pseudomonadales; Pseudomonadaceae.
GUUAAUCGACGCAGGGUUAGUCGGUCCCUAAGGCGAGGCUGAAAAGCGUAGUCGAUGGAAAACAGGUUAAUAUUCCUGUACUUCCAGUUAUUGCGAUGGAGGGACGGAGAAGGUUAGGCCAGCCUGGCGUUGGUUGUCCAGGUUUAAGGUGGUAGGCUGAAAUCUUAGGCAAAUCCGGGAUUUCAAGGCCGAGAGCUGAUGACGAGUUGCCUUUAGGCGACGAAGUGGUUGAUACCAUGCUUCCAAGAAAAGCUCCUAAGCUUCAGAUAACUGGGAACCGUACCCCAAACCGACACAGGUGGUUAGGUAGAGAAUACCAAGGCGCUUGAGAGAACUCGGGUGAAGGAACUAGGCAAAAUGGCACCGUAACUUCGGGAGAAGGUGCGCCG